UGUUUUCAUCAUAUUUUCUUACAGCACACACACUGUGUCCUGGCAGUAUUUAUUAAUCAGAGCCGCCCAGACAGAGAUGGAUGUGUUCCAUUUUGAUAUCGGUGCAGUUUUCUUAAGAGCAGAGCGACUGAGAAAAAUAAGCAUUUUCUUUCUAAUGGAUGUUGUCCACAUAGUGUGGAGACGUGUUGCUAAAGGAGAAGCCUUGCAGAUUCACUGGAGGAUGGUCCUCCCCUUCCUUCUCUGACUCCACUGACCACUAGAAUGUUCCUUCCAUGACACGUGUCAGAAUUGUAUGAAGGGUGCUCAUAAGGUCAGAUGACUGUCUGGGUUAAAGGAACACUGCUGUGACUGCACUCCGGUCAAAGAUUCUCCUGGGACUGGAAGUGGAAAGUUUCAGCUGACGAGACCCGGAGAGAAAGCAGCCCUCCAUUAAGACCUGCCGUUUGUUAGGAUUCUCACUGGAAACCUCAAAAGGUGAAGAAGAAGCUGUGGGUCAAAGAGAUUCAUUGGUCGGAUUGGACUCCAGUUCCACCAUAGAUACUGUACUUCGAGACUGAGAGAAGCAUAAAACAGGACGGGUUAUCAGAACACUGUGUAAAACAGUCAUCUGUGAACACAAGACAUGUGGAGAACUAUGAAUGAUAGCCUACUCUACGUGAAUCUGAUGCCUCCGACGGAGCAUGGUGCUGGAAUGACCCGAGUUGGGGAUUUGAUUCCCCAAUACUGAAUCAACUGUAAAUUGCUAAAUGACCACAUCAUAUUCAAUCAUGUGUUUAAACUUUUCAAGUCCUCUGAAUGUGACUUGUCUGUA
Oncorhynchus kisutch (coho salmon) is the source of this 811-nucleotide long non-coding RNA. RefSeq lists it as uncharacterized. NCBI's taxonomy places the organism in Eukaryota, Metazoa, Chordata, Actinopteri, Salmoniformes, Salmonidae. The transcript has 3 exons. The record is from RefSeq and is a predicted model, not a curated record.